CAGCGAGUGGGCCAGCGGUAGGUCACUCGGCUUGGAACCGAGAAGGCGGAGGUUCGACUCCUCCCUUGCUGACCA
Molecule: transfer RNA, 75 nt
Filed under: bacterium
Lineage: Bacteria
Also listed under: 1 other name
Description: tRNA-Pro
Rfam family: tRNA
About the family: Transfer RNA (tRNA) molecules are approximately 80 nucleotides in length.
Source: RNAcentral